ACUCCUCGGGAGGCAGCAGUGGGGAAUAUUGCACAAUGGGGGAAACCCUGAUGCAGCCAUGCCGCGUGUGUGAAGAAGGCCUUCGGGUUGUAAAGCACUUUCAGUAGGGAGGAAGGUAGUGUAGUUAACACCUGCAUUAUUUGACGUUACCUACAGAAGAAGCACCGGCUAACUCCGUGCCAGCAGCCGCGGUAAUACGGAGGGUGCGAGCGUUAAUCGGAAUUACUGGGCGUAAAGCGCAUGCAGGCGGCCUGUUAAGUCAGAUGUGAAAGCCCGGGGCUUAACCUCGGAAUUGCAUUUGAAACUGGCAGGCUAGAGUCUUGUAGAGGGGGGUAGAAUUUCAGGUGUAGCGGUGAAAUGCGUAGAGAUCUGAAGGAAUACCAGUGGCGAAGGCGGCCCCCUGGACAAAGACUGACGCUCAGAUGCGAAAGCGUGGGGAGCAAACAGGAUUAGAUACCCUGGUAGCAC
This 468-nucleotide ribosomal RNA is filed under the name uncultured bacterium. RNAcentral describes it as "bacterial SSU rRNA". It matches the Rfam family "Bacterial small subunit ribosomal RNA", at positions 335 to 796 of the family's 1533-position model. The record is from RNAcentral.